Molecule: ribosomal RNA, 429 nt
Filed under: Pseudomonadota bacterium
Lineage: Bacteria; Pseudomonadati; Pseudomonadota
Description: Proteobacteria bacterium partial 16S ribosomal RNA
Rfam family: Bacterial small subunit ribosomal RNA
Source: RNAcentral
UGGGGAAUAUUGGACAAUGGGCGAAAGCAUGAUCCAGCCAUGCCGCGUGUGUGAAGGAGGUCUUCGGAUUGUAAAGCACUUUAAGUUGGGAGGAAGGGCAGUAAGCGAAUACCUUGCUGUUUUGACGUUACCGACAGAAUAAGCACCGGCGAACUCUGUGCCAGCAGCCGCGGUAAUACAGAGGGUGCAAGCGUUAAUCGGAAUUACUGGGCGUAAAGCGCGCGUAGGUGGUUCGUUAAGUUGAAUGUGAAAGCCCCGGGCUCAACCUGGGAACUGCAUCCAAAACUGGCGAGCUAGAGUAGGGCAGAGGGUGGUGGAAUUUCCUGUGUAGCGGUGAAAUGCGUAGAUAUAGGAAGGAACACCAGUGGCGAAGGCGACCACCUGGGCUCAUACUGACACUGAGGUGCGAAAGCGUGGGGAGCAAACAGG